CCCGAGGUUUCGGUUGUAUCGAUAGUAGUUGUAGUGCGUGUGAGCGAGUCGCAAAGCCGUCGGUGUUUUGGUCAUUACUGCUGCUGGAUUGAAAGAAAAGAUAGAUAUUAUUGUGUAUUAAUUUUUUGCUCAGCCAAUGCUUGGCUUUUGCAAAUUGCAAAAAGUUAAAAGAGGUGUGUGGCUGUGUGUGUGUGUGUGUAUUUGCGAAAAAAUCACGUUUUGAAGCGGUCGAUUAAACUGCGAUCAAAGCGUGACACCGUUCGUGUUCAGCUGGGCUCCAUUGGCAUUGUUGUUGGUUUAGAGAUGAAAUAAAAUACAUACAGCAAAAACAAUUCAGUAUUAUUUAGCAAAAAAAUAUAAAAGCAUUCCGGGUCGAAAUUUAAACCAAAUCCGCAUCGAAUAGAAAAAACAAUCAAAUUAUUCAACAAAAUAAAAAA
Rhagoletis zephyria (snowberry fruit fly) is the source of this 437-nucleotide long non-coding RNA. RefSeq lists it as uncharacterized. NCBI's taxonomy places the organism in Eukaryota, Metazoa, Arthropoda, Insecta, Diptera, Tephritidae. The record is from RefSeq and is a predicted model, not a curated record.